Molecule: ribosomal RNA, 253 nt
Filed under: uncultured bacterium
Lineage: Bacteria
Description: partial 16S ribosomal RNA
Rfam family: Bacterial small subunit ribosomal RNA
Source: RNAcentral
GACGUAGGGCGCGAGCGUUGUCCGGAUUUAUUGGGCGUAAAGAGCUCGUAGGCGGCUUGUCGCGUCGACUGUGAAAACCCGAGGCUCAACUUCGGGCUUGCAGUCGAUACGGGCAGGCUAGAGUUCGGUAGGGGAGACUGGAAUUCCUGGUGUAGCGGUGAAAUGCGCAGAUAUCAGGAGGAACACCGAUGGCGAAGGCAGGUCUCUGGGCCGCAACUGACGCUGAGGAGCGAAAGCAUGGGGAGCGAACAGG